UACAUUCUAUGCUCUGUUGUUGAGCAUCUCUAAAACUGCAUAAGAAACUAAAGAUAUUACUCUACAAUUCAGACUAAAUUAUCUCAAGCACAAAAAUAAUACAUUAUAAGAAGUCAUGGAUCUCAUGGGUUGUAACGGACACCAAUUUGCUCUAUUGUCGUGGAGGACAAUAAAUGUCUCAAUCCUAUCUCAAGUUCUAGAUCAUUAUUUUAACAUUGAGAUCUCAAGUAAACAGAGUACAUAAAAUGUCUCAAUCCUAUCUCCAUCUUCUAGCAUCUUCCUUCAAGAACCCAGUGCUUUUGGUUUGAACAAUAUGCAGUCUCAAGGCCAUCAAUUUAAAGUCCCAUAUCAUUAUCAAGAAUGAACAACUCUCAAGCUUCCAACCCUCAAAUUCAAAUAAUAAAAAAAGUAAGAAAUUAGCAACGAUAUAUCUGAGAGGGAGAAAGGGGAGAGGUGGGAGAGAGAACAAUUCGAAAGAAAAAAAAAACAUAAUUAUAAUUUCAAAAAAUUACCAAAUUCCUAUAUAAAUCCAAAAUAUUACCAAAAAAAAAUAAAUAAGGACUUGCCAUUCAAUACCCAAAUCAUUAAGCCCUAAAUUAAAAUAGGACAUAUAAAUCAUUUUGUUAGAAAGUCUAGACCAAAAUUCAAAGUUGAAAUACUUUCUGCUAUGAUGCGAAUCAUCUAAAUCGCACAGUUAGAAAGAGAGGGAGAAAAUUAGAGUUCUUACCUGCCACAGAGAGGUUGAGAGAAAGCCAGCCACAGAGAGGUUGAGAGAAAGCCAGCCAUAGAGAUCCAGAUGAGAGUGAGAAAGGGAAAUCAUAACUAUGAAAACCUAAAAAAACAAAACAAAGAAACCAGCGAUGAAGCAGCAGCAACAAGGAAGAUACCCAGACCAAAAACCCUCGAAAGGAGAACGAAAUGAAGAAGGAGAAGAAGGAGCAUGACCUACUUGAGAGGAGAGGAGAUGUGGUCGCCGGCAUCGUCUCGUCGUCACAGAAGGAGGAGAGGAGCUGCUGUAGAAGGAAUCAAACUCGAAGAGAAAGAAAUGAGAAACCCAACCCUAAACUUGAAAUGUCUCUGACUGAGAGAGCAAGUAUUUUUUUAUUUUUUAUUUGGUUUUACCUACAGCAACCAAUUUAACCGGUAACCAACAAUCA
RNAcentral lists this long non-coding RNA (1157 nucleotides) under Prunus dulcis (almond). RNAcentral describes it as "sRNA ncRNA". Lineage: Eukaryota; Viridiplantae; Streptophyta; Magnoliopsida; Rosales; Rosaceae. The record is from RNAcentral.